RNAcentral lists this non-coding RNA (206 nucleotides) under uncultured Colwellia sp. RNAcentral describes it as "Lysine riboswitch". It matches the Rfam family "Lysine riboswitch aptamer". From Rfam's summary of the family: Riboswitches are metabolite binding domains within certain messenger RNAs that serve as precision sensors for their corresponding targets. Allosteric rearrangement of mRNA structure is mediated by ligand binding, and this results in modulation of gene expression. Lineage: Bacteria; Pseudomonadati; Pseudomonadota; Gammaproteobacteria; Alteromonadales; Colwelliaceae. The record is from RNAcentral.
ACCAGAAGAGGUGCGAAACUGAGGUAGAAAACGAGAGGAACCACAUUCCGAAUACCGUUUUUGAGGGAAGUUAUCGCCGAGAGUAUUUAACGGUGGAUUUAAAUACUCGGUCACUAAGGUUGAAUCCUUAUGGCUGUCACCUGACGUAUUUGUUAACAAUUACUUAAUAAUAUUAGGUAUCAAACAAAAGGUGGAGAGCUUCUGGC